GGAUCUUCGGCAAUGGGCGCAAGCCUGACCGAGCGACGCCGCGUGGAGGACGAAGGCCUUCGGGUUGUAAACUCCUGUCGAGGGGGAGGAAGCCCGCAAGGGUUGACCUAUCCCUGGAGGAAGCACGGGCUAAGUUCGUGCCAGCAGCCGCGGUAAGACGAACCGUGCGAACGUUGUUCGGAAUCACUGGGCUUAAAGGGCGCGUAGGAGGCCCCGCCAGUCCUGGGUGAAAGCUCCCGGCCCAACCGGGAAAGUGCCCGGGAUACUGCGGGGCUCGAGCGAGGCAGGGGCGGGGGGAACUUCCGGUGGAGCGGUGAAAUGCGUUGAUAUCGGAAGGAACGCCGGUGGCGAAAGCGCCCCGCUGGGCCUCUCCUGACGCUGAGGCGCGAAAGCCAGGGGAGCAAAC
This 406-nucleotide ribosomal RNA is filed under the name uncultured bacterium. RNAcentral describes it as "bacterial SSU rRNA". It matches the Rfam family "Bacterial small subunit ribosomal RNA", at positions 359 to 773 of the family's 1533-position model. The record is from RNAcentral.